UGGAGAGCUCGCUCUCCUGAUUAGUGGCGCACGGGUGAGUAACAUAUAGAUAACGUGCCUCUUAGUCUGGGAUAGCCAUUGGAAACGAUGAUUAAUACCGGAUACUCCUUCUCCUUCUAAUUGGAGUUGGGAAAGUUUUUCGCUAAGAGAUCGGUCUAUAUCCCCAUCAGCUAGUUGGUAGUGUAAGAGACUACCAAGGCAAUGACGGGUAGCGGGUUUGAGAGGAUGAUCCGCCACACUGGUACUGAGACACGGACCAGACUCC
RNAcentral lists this ribosomal RNA (265 nucleotides) under uncultured bacterium. RNAcentral's name for it is "partial 16S ribosomal RNA". It matches the Rfam family "Bacterial small subunit ribosomal RNA", at positions 72 to 339 of the family's 1533-position model. The record is from RNAcentral.